CUAGCCCUAAACGAUGUAGACUAGACGUCGGUGGUGUAAAAACUGUCGGUGUCCAAGCUAACGCGAUAAGUCUACCGCCUGAGGACUACGGCCGCAAGGUUAAAACUCAAAGGAAUUGACGGGUCCCCGCACAAGCAGCGGAGCGUGUGGUUUAAUUCGUUGCUACACGAAGAACCUUACCUGGGUUUGACAUAGCAGUGGUAGGGAAGAGAAAUCGGACCGACCCUUCGGGGAGCUGUUACAGGUGU
RNAcentral lists this ribosomal RNA (248 nucleotides) under uncultured Anaerolineaceae bacterium. RNAcentral describes it as "partial 16S ribosomal RNA". It matches the Rfam family "Bacterial small subunit ribosomal RNA", at positions 796 to 1041 of the family's 1533-position model. The record is from RNAcentral. Lineage: Bacteria; Bacillati; Chloroflexota; Anaerolineae; Anaerolineales; Anaerolineaceae.